This 272-nucleotide ribosomal RNA is filed under the name uncultured Eubacteriales bacterium. RNAcentral's name for it is "uncultured Clostridiales bacterium partial 16S ribosomal RNA". It matches the Rfam family "Bacterial small subunit ribosomal RNA", at positions 76 to 339 of the family's 1533-position model. The record is from RNAcentral. Lineage: Bacteria; Bacillati; Bacillota; Clostridia; Eubacteriales.
UCCUUCGGGAGGAAGAUGUAUAGACUUAGUGGCGGACGGGUGAGUAACGCGUGAGCAACCUGCCUACAAGAGGGGGACAACAGCUGGAAACGGCUGCUAAUACCGCAUAAGACCACACUUUCACAUGAAAGAGAGGUCAAAGAUUUAUCGCUUGUAGAUGGGCUCGCGUCCCAUUAGCUAGUUGGUGAGGUAACGGCCCACCAAGGCGACGAUGGGUAGCCGACCUGAGAGGGUGAUCGGCCACAUUGGAACUGAGACACGGUCCAAACUCC